CAGGUUUACCUGUGUGACUGCGUACCUUUUGUAUAAUGGGUCAGCGACUUAUAUUCUGUAGCAAGGUUAACCGAAUAGGGGAGCCGGAGGGAAACCGAGUCUUAAUUGGGCGUUAAGUUGCAGGGUAUAGACCCGAAACCCGGUGAUCUAGCCAUGGGCAGGUUGAAGGUUGGGUAACACUAACUGGAGGACCGAACCGACUAAUGUUGAAAAAUUAGCGGAUGACCUGUGGCUGGGGGUGAAAGGCCAAUCAAACCGGGAGAUAGCUGGUUCUCCCCGAAAGCUAUUUAGGUAGCGCCUCGUGAAUUCAUCUCCGGGGGUAGAGCACUGUUUCGGCUAGGGGGCCAUCCCGGCUUACCAACCCGAUGCAAACUGCGAAUACCGGAGAAUGUUAUCACGGGAGACACACGGCGGGUGCUAACGUCCGUCGUGAAGAGGGAAACAACCCAGACCGCCAGCUAAGGUCCCAAAGUCAUGGUUAAGUGGGAAACGAUGUGGGAAGGCCCAGACAGCCAGGAUGUUGGCUUAGAAGCAGCCAUCAUUUAAAGAAAGCGUAAUAGCUCACUGGUCGAGUCGGCCUGCGCGGAAGAUGUAACGGGGCUAAACCAUGCACCGAAGCUGCGGCAGCGAACGUAUCACCCAAGACAACUUUACGGAGUUGACGAUUGACGGAGCGAAGCGACGUCAAAGCGUUCAUUAAAGUCGAGUUGGCUUAGGGAUACGUUCGUUGGGUAGGGGAGCGUUCUGUAAGCCUGUGAAGGUGUGUCGUGAGGCAUGCUGGAGGUAU
RNAcentral lists this ribosomal RNA (787 nucleotides) under Salmonella enterica subsp. enterica. RNAcentral describes it as "partial 23S ribosomal RNA". It matches the Rfam family "Bacterial large subunit ribosomal RNA", at positions 580 to 1282 of the family's 2925-position model. The record is from RNAcentral. Lineage: Bacteria; Pseudomonadati; Pseudomonadota; Gammaproteobacteria; Enterobacterales; Enterobacteriaceae.